Saccostrea cuccullata (small rock oyster) is the source of this 615-nucleotide long non-coding RNA. RefSeq lists it as uncharacterized. NCBI's taxonomy places the organism in Eukaryota, Metazoa, Mollusca, Bivalvia, Ostreida, Ostreidae. The transcript is spliced from 4 exons. The record is from RefSeq and is a predicted model, not a curated record.
CGAAUGCUGUGGAACUUGAUGUCACAGUAAAAAGACUGACAAUAAGCCUCAAAAUUUGCCAUAUGGAAAGCCUCUAUCCUGCACCUUACUCCGAGAAGCUUUAGAAGCUUUAUUCAAGAAAUACUGCUGUAAGGCAGAGGAGCUGGCCAUGAUGGGAUCCACUCAAGUCAAUGAGAAUUUUAACCAUAUGGUCUCCACUAAAGCUCCAAAAACAUUCUGAACAAGAAAAUGGCAUUGUCGCCUGGCAAUUUCAGAAUGAAGCAUACCAUCAGACUUGCCAACAAGCUCAAACGGAAGCGUCUCAUGCAGAGUUUACUGGCCACCAAGAGACGUUGAUUGGAAUUAAAAGCCACCAGGUUGUCUAAAGAAGCAGCGAGGAAUGUUCUAGAAGGACAAUCAUAUAAGUCAGAUAUUGGUCUUGAGGAGGAUGUUGAUCUUGACAACAUUGAUCCAGAGCCCCUUAUGAUUUCUCCAGAGAGCAGCUGCUUCAUGUAUUUUGAUUUAGAAACUACCGGACUUAGUAGAACUUCUGACAUCAUACAGAUUGCUGCAGUUUGUGAAGAUAGGUCAUUCAAUGUUUAUCUGAACCGCCAGUGUACAAAUCUUUAAGGAAGC